GUGUAUUCGUGAGUUCGCGGUUGAACAACUGUUCCUUUACUCUGCUCCCUGUCUUUGUUAUUGUUUAUCGGGGUUGUUUCUGUAGGAAGGUGGGGGUGGUGGGCGUGAGAGACAGACGUGGGCUUGUUUUUCUAGUUGCUGAAUCUGUAUGAAGGCUUUAAAGGGAGAACGUUUUCUUGAUGUGCUUUAGGAGGGAAGGAGGAACAAAUGCCUGCCAGAUCUCACAACUACAGUAGCUGAGCUUUUGUUUAUUUUGAAGCGCAUGCAAUUUUUAAAUACACGGUGCAAGAUAACCAGUAAAGGCGCGUUCCUUCUGAAAAUUGAGGCCGGUCUCAGAACCAUCUCCUGAGAAAGCAUCCUUUCUGAAUGUAGGUGUGUGUGUGAGUGCCCCUGCCAUGAAAUGGUGUCCUGUCCAGGGAUGGUUCCCACCUUGUACCCUAAGCUGCUGGGAUCGGCUCGGGCCACUGCGACCCUGAAUUGGACUAAUUGGGUGCUGACUGGGUUACUUUUUUAAACACUAGGAAUGGUAGUUUCUACUUUUCUGUA
This 546-nucleotide small RNA is filed under the name Pongo abelii (Sumatran orangutan). RNAcentral describes it as "processed transcript". Lineage: Eukaryota; Metazoa; Chordata; Mammalia; Primates; Hominidae. The record is from RNAcentral.